UACGUAGGGUGCGAGCGUUGUCCGGAAUUAUUGGGCGUAAAGCGCGCGCAGGCGGUCCCUUAAGUCUGAUGUGAAAUCCCACGGCUCAACCGUGGAAGGUCAUUGGAAACUGGGGGACUUGAGUACAGAAGAGGAAAGCGGAAUUCCAAGUGUAGCGGUGAAAUGCGUAGAGAUUUGGAGGAACACCAGUGGCGAAGGCGGCUUUCUGGUCUGUAACUGACGCUGAGGCGCGAAAGCGUGGGGAGCGAACAGG
This 253-nucleotide ribosomal RNA is filed under the name uncultured bacterium. Its description in RNAcentral is "partial 16S ribosomal RNA". It matches the Rfam family "Bacterial small subunit ribosomal RNA", at positions 524 to 776 of the family's 1533-position model. The record is from RNAcentral.